UUAAUAGAAGCCAAAAUCAGAGGCAAUUUAUUGUUAAUAAAUUAAUUGGCAUGUUUGCCCUAUUAAA
RNAcentral lists this transfer RNA (67 nucleotides) under Nabis ferus. RNAcentral describes it as "tRNA-Asn". Lineage: Eukaryota; Metazoa; Arthropoda; Insecta; Hemiptera; Nabidae. The record is from RNAcentral.